Molecule: ribosomal RNA, 882 nt
Filed under: uncultured bacterium
Lineage: Bacteria
Description: bacterial SSU rRNA
Rfam family: Bacterial small subunit ribosomal RNA
Source: RNAcentral
GCCCUUAGAGUUUGAUCCUGGCUCAGGAUGAACGCUGGCGGUAUGCUUUACACAUGCAAGUCGUACGAGAGUUUUUAACUCAAGUGGCGGACGGGUGAGUAACACGUAAGAAUUUGCCUUUAGGAGGGGGAUAACAACUGGAAACGGUUGCUAAUACCCCAUAUGCUUUCGAGUAAAAUGGAUUUUCCGCCUAAAGAGAAGCUUGCGGCUGAUUAGCUUGUUGGUGAGGUAAUGGCUCACCAAGGCGACGAUCAGUAUCUGGUUUGAGAGGACGAUCAGACACACUGGAACUGAGACACGGUCCAGACUCCUACGGGAGGCAGCAGUGGGGAAUUUUCCGCAAUGGGCGAAAGCCUGACGGAGCAAUACCGCGUGAGGGAUGACGGCCUAUGGGUUGUAAACCUCUUUUUUCAGGGAGGAAUCAAUGACGUGUACCUGAAGAAUAAGCAUCGGCUAACUCCGUGCCAGCAGCCGCGGUAAGACGGAGGAUGCAAGUGUUAUCCGGAAUCACUGGGCGUAAAGCGUCUGUAGGUGGUCAAAUAAGUCAACUGUUAAAUCUUGAGGCUCAACCUCAAAAUCGCAGUCGAAACUAUUCGACUAGAGUAUAGUAGGGGUAAAGGGAAUUUCCAGUGGAGCGGUGAAAUGCGUAGAGAUUGGAAAGAACACCGAUGGCGAAGGCACUUUACUGGGCUAUUACUAACACUGAGAGACGAAAGCUAGGGUAGCAAAUGGGAUUAGAUACCCCAGUAGUCCUAGCCGUAAACAAUGGAUACUAGAUGUUGAACAGAUCGACCUGUGCAGUAUCAAAGCUAACGCGUUAAGUAUCCCGCCUGGGAAGUAUGCUCGCAAGAGUGAAACUCAAAUGAAUUGACGGGGAAGGGC